This 82-nucleotide transfer RNA is filed under the name Cunninghamella echinulata. Its description in RNAcentral is "tRNA-Leu". It matches the Rfam family "tRNA". From Rfam's summary of the family: Transfer RNA (tRNA) molecules are approximately 80 nucleotides in length. Their secondary structure includes four short double-helical elements and three loops (D, anti-codon, and T loops). Lineage: Eukaryota; Fungi; Mucoromycota; Mucoromycetes; Mucorales; Cunninghamellaceae. The record is from RNAcentral. RNAcentral also lists the same sequence under 1 other name.
GCAGGCUUGGCAGAGUGGUCUAAUGCGCCAGAAUCAGGAUCUGGUAACUUCGGUUGCGGGAGUUCGAAUCUCCCAGCCUGCA